GAUAAGCGCUGAAAGCAUCUAAGCGCGAAGCCUUCCGCAAGAUUAGAACUCCUCAUUAGGGUCGUCACAGACGAUGACGUGGAUAGGGUGCAGGUGUAUAGACGGCGACGUCACAGCCGAGCACUACUAAUAGCCCGAAGCUUUCAUU
This 148-nucleotide ribosomal RNA is filed under the name Prevotella pallens. Its description in RNAcentral is "partial 23S ribosomal RNA". It matches the Rfam family "Bacterial large subunit ribosomal RNA", at positions 2763 to 2925 of the family's 2925-position model. Lineage: Bacteria; Pseudomonadati; Bacteroidota; Bacteroidia; Bacteroidales; Prevotellaceae. The record is from RNAcentral.